Molecule: long non-coding RNA, 752 nt
Organism: Nematostella vectensis (starlet sea anemone)
Lineage: Eukaryota; Metazoa; Cnidaria; Anthozoa; Actiniaria; Edwardsiidae
Exons: 2
Source: RefSeq, a predicted model, not a curated record
AAUUUUGCGCAAAGUCCGUAAUGAAAAAGAAACUCUGUCCCACCGGCGCCCCGCAACAAGGGCACACUUGCCCUAGGGACUCCCACGCAAAAUGUCAGCAAGCUGUUUUUUCUUUGGCGACAAUUUUUUAUUUUAUGUAUAUGUUUGUGUAUUUAAAAAUAAAUAAAUAAAAAAAAACCGGUCCGCCGAGGUCCGGUCCGCGUAGGUCCGUGAAGGUCCGGUCUUCCUUUUACAGAGACCCGCUCUUAUUGAUAAAAUUUCAGCAGUAAUCAAGCAGUGCUCAUGCGCACACAACUAAUAUGCAGAUAAACGUAAAUAUACAAUUUUUACUCUUACGCCUAAGUUCUUUACCAAAUCAUCAGAUGUUUUUGAAAAUAGACAAACAAGACAUGAUAUCGACUUUUUAUCAAAUAUGGUUUUCUAAUAAAGAAAGACUAAGACUCAAAACUGUCUGUUCUUAUGGGGAUUAGGAUACCUGUGGAAAGUCACGCAUUCUAAUCUGGCAGACGGCUGAUCAGUUGUUGUCAUUUGAAACCAGACUCGUGUUCAAGUACUUGACCUUUACAUUGAAAUUUAUCUUACAAAUCGGCCUUUUCCCUAGAAACCUCUUGACAGAAGUAACUUCCAAGGAUGAACCAAGACUAUUAUACAGCAUCUGAGAUUAGUAUACAGCAAGGGUAGAGAUUAUUUUUUGUGAUUUGUCUCCUGUACAAACAGGUAUGUGUAUCUAAUAAAGACGGCUGUCAAGAAAA